Molecule: transfer RNA, 69 nt
Filed under: Solenostomus cyanopterus (ghost pipefish)
Lineage: Eukaryota; Metazoa; Chordata; Actinopteri; Syngnathiformes; Solenostomidae
Description: tRNA-Ile
Source: RNAcentral
GGAAACGUGCCCGAAUUAGGGGCCACCUUGAUAGGGUGUACCAUGGAGGUUAAAGUCCCCCCGUUUCUU